RNAcentral lists this long non-coding RNA (511 nucleotides) under Parus major (Great Tit). RNAcentral describes it as "lncRNA (ENSPMJG00000009265.1)". Lineage: Eukaryota; Metazoa; Chordata; Aves; Passeriformes; Paridae. The record is from RNAcentral.
AGAAAAUCAACCUCCCAGUGUGAAUAGUGCCAUAAUAAAUCUAUUUCAUACCAGCUGUCCAUGCAUGAGUUUUGAAUUUCUCUGGAUGUUUGGAGCUGCAAAGCCCAGUGAGGAAAAACAUGACUCACCUAUGCAAUGUUAUUUUGUUUUACAGGAAAAGGCUCAGUGCUUUCAGAAGGCUCUUGCUUCCCAAGCAGAUAAAUCCACACAGACAGAACUCGUAGGACAUGAUGCCCUGUGGAACUCUCCAUGUUCUGAAGGCUUAGUUUACAAACCUAUCAGCAUCUCAUUGGUUCCAUCAUUAUUAAAUUAAAAAGCAACAUCUGGACACUCUGCACUUACGGAUAUAAUUAAAUACUGCUGUAUAUGAAAUGAGCUGCAAGUUACCAUUGCUGGCAAAAUUCUACUACUUAAGAUAAUAUUUGUAUUAUGAACAGUCAAAUAUCAUUUUUUUGAGGAAUAUCUUCAUUAUUAAGUGUAUCUAUGAAUAAAUUAUUAGUAAGCUAUGACA